UACUAAAUAGAAGAAAAGCCCAAUAUCCAUGUAAUUCGGUUUGGUUCGGUUCCCUCGGUUUUAUAAAAAUAGAAACCGAGACCGGACCAAUAUCUAUAUGGUUCGGUUCAGUUUCGGUUCGGUCUUGACCGGUUUCUGGUCAACUCGGUUUUGACCGGUUUUGACUCGGUUUUUUCGGUUCGAUUUUCGGUUUUUCGGUUUUUUGCCCACCCCUAAUCAUUAUCAUCUGAAUCUAGUACUGGUACUAGUACUAGUAGUAGCGAAGAUUGCAUUGCAAUGACUUUGUGCUUGGGAUUGGCAUUUGCUAGACCAGGUGAUGCGACUUGGACGGCUGUUGAUACUCCUUUUAACCUUAUUGUAGAUGUCAUUUUUUAUAAGGGACAGUUUUAUUGUGUUACUAUUUAUGGGAUGGUUAUGGUAUGUGACAUUGCUGAUAAUGGUCUUAGGGGUGGGCAAAAAAACCGAAAAACCGAGUCAAAACCGAGUUGACCAGAAACCGGUCAAGACCGAACCGAAACCGAACCGACCCAUAUAGAUAUUGGUCC
RNAcentral lists this long non-coding RNA (545 nucleotides) under Aquilegia coerulea. RNAcentral's name for it is "long non-coding RNA (ACOE_LNC000662)". The record is from RNAcentral. Lineage: Eukaryota; Viridiplantae; Streptophyta; Magnoliopsida; Ranunculales; Ranunculaceae.